CUCCACAGAGAUUUCACAGUUCCACCCUCAGCUGCAUAAUAAUCCUGAACUUGUUUGGUCUUAAAUUAUGCUUUGUACAUUUUAUUAUUUUAACAGCCAAGGUCUACCAGCUUCUGCAUGGAGCCAAACAAUAUGUUGACCCUAUGACCCAAAAGCUUCGGUUUCUAACUGUUCAAUAUUUUAUGUAAUGAAGUGAUACUGCGAACAAUAUUGCUUAAGCAAGGUUUAAUGGCCAAUUAAUAUGCAUGUGAUGGGGAUCUGCAUCUUUUUUUUAGGGUGAGGAAAUCUGAUAUUUGUAUAUGAAGUAGAAAAGCAGUAGGUAAGAAGUCUGUAUAAAGAUGAGAGAAGGGAAAGAAAUAAUCCAAUAGCUGCCUUAAAAUAGGAAUGAUAAAAAAAUCUACAUUUCUGGCAAGUUUUUCUCUUUUUCUAUGCAAAGGAAUUGGCUAGGAACUUGCAGACUUCCACUUACACGAAAUACAUCUGAACUUCCACACCUUUGCAUGUAUUUGGAUCAAAUGGAUCUCAUCUAUGAGCCAAUGAAGGACGCUUUAAAAAGAUUUCUAAACCCGAAGACGCCCACAGAUUCCCUGAUAAAAAAUGCAGAGUGGGCAGCAGAAAUAACAGCCUUUUCCCUCCAUCAUAUUGUCAAAGUCUAUGUAGGAAGCCACUGGUAUGCCACCUAUUUGCACACGUUAUUAAAGUUUCCAGAGUUGUUGUCAAAUUGCAAAAAAGUAUACUGGAUUGCUUAUGGCCAGAGUCUCCUCAUUCAUGGAGAUGGAAAAAUGUUUCGACAUGUUCUCAACUUCUUAAGACUUGGCAAGUUGUAUUUACCAUCUGAAUUUAAGUACGUUAAUUACUGUUUGAUGCACAUUAUGUCUGGGAUAGCUAAAGAGCAGUUCGACCUUAAGACAGGGUUGGAAGUGCUCCGUGUACUGAAUGGCUGCCUCUCUCAACCACAUUCUUGGUAGAACACGGCUUCCUCCCCAAAGUUCUGUUUUCUCUAUAAUUGGAACAAUUCGUUUUUGCCAAUUUCUCUUAGGUUGUUCCUGUUUCGUUAUGCCCCCUAUAAUGUCAUUAAACAAUUUGGAGCAAUGAAUCAGGAAACGAAGCUAAACAUUGUUUCAGAAAUAUCACUAGUGACGUAAGGGAAUGUGAUGAUUAUUUCUCCCAAAUCUUAGAAAGCACAUUUGUCUGGCGAAGGACUUAGCACUUGGGCACGGCCAGAGGAGGCUGCAGUGCCAGAGCCCCAGGGCAGAUGCCCUGCGCCCCAAGGAGCGACUGGGGCAGUGCAGGUCUCCCCCUGCAGCAGCAGCAGAAGGAGAAGCUGCACUGAAGGUGGCCUUGUGUUUGGACCAGGCCUCCCUCCGGCUGGGCAGCUCACUUCAUCAUGGCUCGGGGUGGCUUAGACUUCAAAUGAGAA
This is a non-coding RNA of Pseudonaja textilis, 1420 nucleotides long. NCBI's taxonomy places the organism in Eukaryota, Metazoa, Chordata, Lepidosauria, Squamata, Elapidae. The record is from RefSeq and is a predicted model, not a curated record.